This 205-nucleotide ribosomal RNA is filed under the name uncultured bacterium. RNAcentral describes it as "partial 16S ribosomal RNA". It matches the Rfam family "Bacterial small subunit ribosomal RNA", at positions 524 to 729 of the family's 1533-position model. The record is from RNAcentral.
GACAGAGGGUGCAAACGUUGCUCGGAAUCACUGGGCGUAAAGGGCGUGUAGGCGGGAGGGAAAGUCAGAUGUGAAAUCCCCAGGCUCAACCUGGGAACUGCAUUUGAAACUCCCCUUCUUGAGUAUCGGAGAGGAAAGCGGAAUUCCUGGUGUAGAGGUGAAAUUCGUAGAUAUCAGGAGGAACACCGUGGCGAAGGCGGGCUUC